GGGGGGAUCUUAGGACCUCUCGCUACAGGGGCGGCCGAUGGCAGAUUAGCUAGUUGGUGGGGUAAAGGCCUACCAAGGCGACGAUCUGUAGCUGGUCUGAGAGGACGACCAGCCACACUGGGACUGAGACACGGCCCAGACUCCUACGGGAGGCAGCAGUGGGGAAUUUUGGACAAUGGGGGCAACCCUGAUCCAGCAAUGCCGCGUGUGUGAAGAAGGCCUUCGGGUUGUAAAGCACUUUUGUCCGGAAAGAAAACGCUCUGGUUAAUACCCGGGGCGGAUGACGGUACCGGAAGAAUAAGCACCGGCUAACUACGUGCCAGCAGCCGCGGUAAUACGUAGGGUGCAAGCGUUAAUCGGAAUUACUGGGCGUAAAGCGUGCGCAGGCGGUCCGCUAAGACAGAUGUGAAAUCCCCGGGCUUAACCUGGGAACUGCAUUUGUGACUGGC
Molecule: ribosomal RNA, 449 nt
Filed under: uncultured Burkholderia sp.
Lineage: Bacteria; Pseudomonadati; Pseudomonadota; Betaproteobacteria; Burkholderiales; Burkholderiaceae
Description: bacterial SSU rRNA
Rfam family: Bacterial small subunit ribosomal RNA
Source: RNAcentral